This 1827-nucleotide long non-coding RNA is filed under the name Homo sapiens (human). Its description in RNAcentral is "non-protein coding lnc-FBXO11-1:2". Lineage: Eukaryota; Metazoa; Chordata; Mammalia; Primates; Hominidae. The record is from RNAcentral.
AGAAGGUGUCUUGCUUACCCUUCGCCCUUCUCCGUGAUUGUAAAUUUCCUGAGGCCUCCCCAGUCACGCUGAACUAGUCUUGCUUUCUCACCCAAUCUGGAGUAGAGUGGUACAGUCUUGGCUCACUGCAACCUCCACUUCCCGGGUUCAAGCAAUUCUCCUGCCUCAGCCUCCUGAGUAGCUGGGAUUGCAGGCACCCACCAACAUACCAGGCUCAGCUCAUCAUGAAGAAUGUCCAUGUGACUUUGGUUAAUAAAAUAAUAGAUCCAGUGGACUGUAGUCUGUUUAACUGAGACCUCACACAUAAUGUCAUGGUUGACAGUUACUGGUUGAAGGAAAUCCAUGUUGGGCUUCUGUGGAUGCUGGAUUCUUUCCUUCUGAGAAGAAAUAUAACACACUGACUUUGAGGUGAUGGUGGAGAAAAAGUACAAGCAGAAGACUUUUCCCAACUUCUCCAUAGCCUACAUGCGUGUGGAAACACUUCAGGUUAACCACUUGAAGCUUCAGAGACUGCAGUGAGGCCCUGGCAUAGGAACAUGCUCAUCACGGGCAUGUUCACAGAGCAAAGCAGCCAGCGUGACUGCAGCACAGAGUAGGAAGGGUGUGGAAGGAGAUGAGAGAGAAUGAAGAGGGAAUCUUUGAACUUGAUUACCAAGGAGAUGGGAUGAUAAAUCCAUCCAGCCACUCCAAGAAGCCAAGUUAAGGGAUGGAAGCACUGAUGAAGAGCACAGACAGAAUCAAGUGUACAUGCAGAACAUAUGGUAACCAUAUAAAGGGAUGAUGUCAAAAUUCUCAGCCUCCUUGCUCUUCAGUAUCUUCUUCCCCUUUACCUCGUCUGGAUGGUGUAUAAUGAAGAGGCACCUAGCGGUGCCUCCUGCCUCUAGAGUAAGAUUCAAGGGAGGAUAUAUAGGCUCCUCCAUAGGGUCAAGAGGUUUUCAAAGGCUGUGUUGUCCCAUCCAGCUACCAAAACAAGAGACAAAAUUGUGACCUGGAGUUGAAACUCUAGUGAGUGAUAAAGAGGGGAAGUUUCCUAAAGCAGAAGUUCUCAGUCUGGGGGCUAUCUGUGUGUUGUGUACUGAAUUUUGUGUCCUCCCAAAAUUCAGACGUUGAAGCCCUAGUCCCCAUUGUGGUUGUAUUUGGAGGUGGGGCUUUGGGAGAUGAUUAGAAUUAGAUUAGUUCAUGAAGGUGAAGCCCUUCUGAUGGGAUUAGUACCCAUACAAGAAGAGACACAAGAUCCCUCUACCAAUUAUGCUAGCUCUCCUCUCUUUCUCUCUCCACCGUCUGGGAUACUUCAGGAAGAUGUCUGUCUGCAAACCAGGAAGAGGUCCCUCAAGCACUAAAUCUGCUGGCACCUUGAUCUUGGGCUUCCCAGCCUUUAGGACUGUGAGAAAUCUUUGCUGUUUAAGCAAUCCCAUCUAUGGUAUUUUGUUACAGCAGCCCAAGCUGACUAAGACACUGUGGAUACCUUGCAUGCCUGGGAGGCUUGCACAUCCUUGGACAUUAUAAGUAAUAUUUUUCUGAAAAGGGGUCAUAACUCUCAUCGGAGAGUCAAAAGACCAAGUCUAUGACUCCCAAAAGAUUAUAUACCACUGACGGAGUGGCCCUUGUGUUCUUAUCCUGUAGAACCACAAGAAACUUGAGGAUUGGGGAUCCUAGUCCUGGCCUUCAUUCCGUACUUGCAUGACCAACAUCUAAGAGUACUAACAAAUAUGAUGAAAUAAGAAAGAUUCAAGAGGAUACACAUAUUUUCUUUGUCCAAUGUUGCUAAUAUCCACCUGAGAGUUUAUUAUCCAUAAUAAAAUGUGGAAUCCAGUCUGUACACCAUGA